Molecule: non-coding RNA, 118 nt
Filed under: Clostridium sp.
Lineage: Bacteria; Bacillati; Bacillota; Clostridia; Eubacteriales; Clostridiaceae
Also listed under: 1 other name
Description: SAM-I sequence
Rfam family: SAM riboswitch aptamer (S box leader)
About the family: The SAM riboswitch is found upstream of a number of genes which code for proteins involved in methionine or cysteine biosynthesis in Gram-positive bacteria. The SAM riboswitch acts at the level of transcription termination control. The predicted structure consists of a complex stem-loop region followed by a single stem loop terminator region.
Source: RNAcentral
UUCUUAUCUAGAGAAGCGGAGGGACUGGCCCUAUGAAGCUCGACAACCGGCAUUAUACUUAUAAUGCAUCGGUGUCAAUUCCUGCAGAAUAAAUUAUAUUUAUUCUGAAAGAUAGGAA